This 70-nucleotide transfer RNA is filed under the name Hemisus marmoratus (mottled shovel-nosed frog). Its description in RNAcentral is "tRNA-Phe". It matches the Rfam family "tRNA". Rfam says of the family: Transfer RNA (tRNA) molecules are approximately 80 nucleotides in length. Their secondary structure includes four short double-helical elements and three loops (D, anti-codon, and T loops). Further hydrogen bonds mediate the characteristic L-shaped molecular structure. tRNAs have two regions of fundamental functional importance: the anti-codon, which is responsible for specific mRNA codon recognition, and the 3' end, to which the tRNAs corresponding amino acid is attached (by aminoacyl-tRNA synthetases). tRNAs cope with the degeneracy of the genetic code in two manners: having more than one tRNA (with a specific anti-codon) for a particular amino acid; and 'wobble' base-pairing, i.e. permitting non-standard base-pairing at the 3rd anti-codon position. Lineage: Eukaryota; Metazoa; Chordata; Amphibia; Anura; Hemisotidae. The record is from RNAcentral.
GCUUAUGUAGCUUAAACUCAAAGCACAGUGCUGAAGACGCUGUUAUGGGACCUAGAAACCCCCGUAAGCA